UACAGAGGUCCCGAGCGUUGUUCGGAUUCACUGGGCGUAAAGGGUGCGUAGGUGGCGAGGUAAGUCGGAUGUGAAAGCUUGGAGCUCAACUCCGAAAUGGCAUUGGAAACUACCUUGCUCGAGGGUUGGAGGGGGGACUGGAAUGCUUGGUGUAGCAGUGAAAUGCGUAGAUAUCAAGCGGAACACCAGUGGCGAAGGCGAGUCCCUGGACAACUCCUGACACUGAGGCACGAAAGCUAGGGGAGCAAACAGG
This 253-nucleotide ribosomal RNA is filed under the name uncultured bacterium. RNAcentral's name for it is "partial 16S ribosomal RNA". It matches the Rfam family "Bacterial small subunit ribosomal RNA", at positions 524 to 776 of the family's 1533-position model. The record is from RNAcentral.